This 95-nucleotide ribosomal RNA is filed under the name Vibrio harveyi. The record is from RNAcentral. RNAcentral also lists the same sequence under 3 other names. Lineage: Bacteria; Pseudomonadati; Pseudomonadota; Gammaproteobacteria; Vibrionales; Vibrionaceae.
ACCCACCUGACUUCCAUUCCGAACUCAGAAGUGAAACGAAUUAGCGCCGAUGGUAGUGUGGGGCUUCCCCAUGUGAGAGUAGGACAUCGCCAGGC